Ostrea edulis (European flat oyster) is the source of this 1354-nucleotide long non-coding RNA. RefSeq lists it as uncharacterized. NCBI's taxonomy places the organism in Eukaryota, Metazoa, Mollusca, Bivalvia, Ostreida, Ostreidae. The transcript is spliced from 2 exons. The record is from RefSeq and is a predicted model, not a curated record.
AACUUUCACCUUCUUGAACCGACGCUAUCUUGUUUGAAAAUGGAGAGCGGAGCCGAUUUGACCAAUCAGCGAUUAGAGGAAAUACCGGAAUCAAGGAAUUCAAAACCUUUAUGACUUCAAAUGAUUAAAAAUCGUAAAGUAUAUACGUGAGAUUUUUUUUAGUUAUUCAUCAGUUUUGCUGAAAUUGAUCAGGAACAAUCAAACGUAUUUUUAUUUUUACGUAAAUACCCGAUUCGCACACUUCCGGUUAUUCCGGAUGUAAACGAAGAAGGCGCCAUUUUAAAAACAAAGAUUGAAAUAAAAUUAAAAGCGAAACACUCGUCACUGCUCCGAAGCUAUGUACCCUCACAAACGUGGUAGCUACCAGGUUUUCCAUGCCGAUAAGUCUAAUCCAACACUCAAAGUAUCCCUUUGGCGAAUGCAACAAGGAAAAGACAACAUUUCAUCAGAAAAUUUCGACAAUCGAAGUGUGGCGUGUGAAACUGCUGGCCCUGUCGCCAUUAUGAUUAUCGAUGCCUUUCAUGAGAAAUCAUUUAACCAGUUGCUUCAAGAUGUUGCUGAAGAACCUGCUUUCUUGCCAUAUCAUAUAUGUUGACGGAGAUUCAGAAUGAGACAAAGAGUUUGAUAUAUGAUCCUACACCUGACAGAAAAAGUUGAGGAUCUUGGACCACUUUGGUGCUCAUCUUGUUUCUAUUUUGAGGAUUGUAAUGGAUAAUUGAGAUGCCUUUUCCAUGGCAUCCAACAUAUUGAAACCCAAAUAGCAUUUGCGGUUUGUGUUCAUCAGCAGCUACUGACGUUGUCCCAAGCUCUGAAGUUUGACAGCAGUGAAAGGGAACAGACAGGGUUGCUGUUAUUGGAGCCUAUGUAAAAGACCUUUGAAAUCUGAGGAACAAGCAGUCCUUUUGACCUUAGCUGGAGAGUAGGUCCGUGUGGUUUUCUUCAAAAGACUACUUGUGGACGAACAGGUUGAGACAACAAAAUAAUUCGAUUCAAGGAAACGUUCAUUGGGAGAUUAGAAACUUUUGUUAAAGUAACAGGACAUGACUACAAAUGAAAAACUUUGUUUUGUUUUCACAGUUCCUAACAGGAUUGAACAGGAAUAUAACAUGAACAUGUUCAAUGUCCAGAACAGAGACAUCAUUUAACAGUCAUACCUUGUUUUGUGUCACAUUUACCAAUGAGAUUUGAAUAUAGAAAUAUUUUUUGAUACUUUUUUGGAAAAGACGUUUUUAUAUAUAUGCCUUAAUUUGAUUUUGAUAGACUAUGCAUACCUAAAUUGAUGAAUAGUGUCUCUUUUAACAUGGAACAGAAGUCCAUAUGGACUUAUUUUUAAUAAAUACUGUGACAUAUCUCA